GACCCUGACUCACACCAGCAAGCGCCCUCACCCUCUUCUCACACAUCCCCGUCUACCUCUCUCGCACGCCGCGCGCACAAGAGCACCACCACCUUCUCGCUGUAGUCGCUCUACGCUGAUGUCGGUGCCGUACGAGGAGCAGACGUUCCCCCCGCUGAAGGGCCUGCACAUCCGUCCCAUGAACGACUCGCGCCUGUGCGAACGUAUCAAGGUGCUGGACGACUACUGCUUUCCUGUGAAGUACACAGAGAGCUACUACAACGACUACGUCCGCAACAGCUUUCACGAGUUCAACCAGCUCGCCUUCUACCACGACAUCCUUGUCGGCUCCAUCACGUGCCGCCUAGAGAAAACGGCCACGGACGGCGAGUACGUCCUCUACAUUAUGACCAUUGGAGUUCUGGAGGCGUACCGUCAUCUGCGCAUCGGCUCCCGACUGCUGCAGACGGUUUUGUCGGCCGUGCACAACGACACCCGCAACCGCAUCGUGGCGGUCACGCUGCAUGUCCAGGUCGGAUCGCCAGCACUGAAGUUCUACCGCCAGUUCAAUUUUGAGGAGGUGCAGCUGGUGGAGAACUACUACACCGACCUCGACGAGUGCAACGCCAUUCUGCUGCGCCGCGUCGUGCCGCAGCCGCACUUUGAGCAUCACAAGAAAUUCAAGUAAGCGGUAAUUAUACUGUCUGUGUGUGCGCGGCAGCCGCCGGUGGCGUUCUCGACGCGCGUGCGCUUGUGUGAUUGGGGGAUAAAGGAUGGCAGGGGAGUGGGGCCACCGCGUGUGGUCGUGUGCGUGCCGGAGCGUCUGCGAUGGUCCUCGACGCCACUGCAUCCUGCAGCUCGAUCAUGGCGAGAAGGCGCCGAUGCCGCUCUCACCCCUCCAACGCGCACUUUCCGAAGACGGCUCACCGUUACGAGCACCGGAGGUGUGUCGUGGCGAGUGCACAGCCAUACCCACGCCUCUGUGUGCUGGCACACGCACACACACGCACGCACGCACCUCCCGCCUUUUUCAUUUUGACGUACGCCAGCGGCGGUCGCUUCGAAAGAGAAGCAUAAAAG
This 1059-nucleotide unclassified non-coding RNA is filed under the name Leishmania donovani. RNAcentral describes it as "gene:LdHU3.03.0120(CDS-product:acetyltransferase_ putative)". Lineage: Eukaryota; Euglenozoa; Kinetoplastea; Trypanosomatida; Trypanosomatidae. The record is from RNAcentral.